Molecule: ribosomal RNA, 376 nt
Filed under: Strombidiidae sp.
Lineage: Eukaryota; Ciliophora; Spirotrichea; Strombidiidae
Description: partial small subunit ribosomal RNA
Rfam family: Eukaryotic small subunit ribosomal RNA
Source: RNAcentral
AUUCCAGCUUCAAUAGCGUAUUUAAAAGUUGUUGCAUUUAAAAAGUUCGUAGUUGGAUUUGUGAGUGCUUUUUUCUGCCAAUCGCGAGUGCAGCAGUGCCCUUCCAUCCUUCUGUUAACGCCUCUUGGCAUUCAUUUGAUGGUGGUGGGCUCAGAUAUUUUACCUUUUGGAAAUUAGAGUGUUUCAGGCAGGCAAGGCCGGAAUACAUUAGGAUGGAAAAAUGGAAUAGGACUUCGGUCUCUUUGUUGGAUGGGAGGGAUGUAGUAAUGAUUAAUAGGGAUAAAUGGGGGCAUAGGUUUUUAUUGUCAGAGGUGGAAUUCUCGGAUUUGUUAAAGACAAUCUUAUGCGAAUGCAUUUGCCAAGCAUGUUUUCAUCG